Molecule: unclassified non-coding RNA, 248 nt
Filed under: Glomeromycotina sp.
Lineage: Eukaryota; Fungi; Glomeromycota
Description: partial contains 5.8S ribosomal RNA and internal transcribed spacer 2
Rfam family: 5.8S ribosomal RNA (bases 1-71)
Source: RNAcentral
GUGAAUCAUCAAAUUUUUGAACGCAAAUUGCACUCUCUGGUAUUCCGGAGAGUAUGCCUGUUUGAGGGUCAGUUUAAAUAAAAAUCGGGGCUUUUGCCUCCUUUGGUGGCCACGCGCCGGAAUUGGGUCGUCGUUACUUCUCGGUUAAGAGACUUAAAAUUUUUGAAUCAUAUCUGAACGUAUUUAAAUUUAUUAGGUACGACUUGUAUUAUUGAAUGUUUAUUAGAAGUGGUCAUCCUCAUGACUCA